AACGAACACUGGCGGCAUGCCUAACACAUGCAAGUCGAACGAGACCUUCGGGUCUAGUGGCGCACGGGUGCGUAACGCGUGGGAACCUGCCCUUAGGUUCGGAAUAACUCCCCGAAAGGGGUGCUAAUACCGGAUAAUGUCUUCGGACCAAAGAUUUAUCGCCUUUGGAUGGGCCCGCGUUGGAUUAGCUAGUUGGUAGGGUAAAAGCCUACCAAGGCGACGAUCCAUAGCUGGUCUGAGAGGAUGAUCAGCCACACUGGGACUGAGACACGGCCCAGACUCCUACGGGAGGCAGCAGUGGGGAAUAUUGGACAAUGGGCGAAAGCCUGAUCCAGCAAUGCCGCGUGAGUGAUGAAGGCCUUAGGGUUGUAAAGCUCUUUUACCCGGGAUGAUAAUGACAGUACUGGGAGAAUAAGCUCCGGCUAACUCCGUG
Molecule: ribosomal RNA, 433 nt
Filed under: uncultured bacterium
Lineage: Bacteria
Description: partial 16S ribosomal RNA
Rfam family: Bacterial small subunit ribosomal RNA
Source: RNAcentral